GACGAACCACCCAAACGUUAUUCGGAAUUACUGGGCUUAAAGGGUGCGUAGGCGGCGCGGAAAGUCAGAUGUGAAAUCCCUCGGCUUAACCGAGGAACUGCGUUUGAAACUACCGUGCUUGAGUAAGACAGAGGUAAGCGGAACUUCGGGUGGAGCGGUGAAAUGCGUAGAUAUUGGGAGGAACACCAGUUGCGAAGGCGGCUCUCUGGACUGUAACUGACGCUGAGGCACGAAAGCGUGGGGAGCGAACAGG
Molecule: ribosomal RNA, 253 nt
Filed under: uncultured bacterium
Lineage: Bacteria
Description: partial 16S ribosomal RNA
Rfam family: Bacterial small subunit ribosomal RNA
Source: RNAcentral